Long non-coding RNA from Teleopsis dalmanni, 656 nucleotides. RefSeq lists it as uncharacterized. NCBI's taxonomy places the organism in Eukaryota, Metazoa, Arthropoda, Insecta, Diptera, Diopsidae. The transcript has 2 exons. The record is from RefSeq and is a predicted model, not a curated record.
UUUGUUCUAGCCUGCUCAAUUAUUACAGCUUAGAAUUAAUAUAUUUAACACAUUAAAUCAUUCGGAAAGCGAAAACGAGAGUGUGCGGUCGGAUCCACAUUCUUUUGUCAAUCACUACGCAAAUGUCAACGACUCGCUGCGUCAAUCCUGGAAGAAAACGAAGCCAGUGCGAAAUUAUUCAAGUUACACAGACUCCGAACCGGAGGGUAGUGCAGUGAUGAGUCUCAAUGGCGGUCAAAUCAUUGUCAAUAAUAUGGCCAGAUCGAGAGCACCAUUGCCUGGCUUCUCCUCAUUUGUCUGACAAUCAACAGAGUUUUAAGGAACACGUAAAACCAAAAUUCCAUGGAUUUAUUAAGAUAAGAACAAAAUUGUUUUAGACUAGACAUACGUUAGUAAACACGCACACACAAACCUAUACAAGUUUUAAUGUGUUUGUGAGUGCCAGUGAAGGUUACUGCCGUUUUUUUUUAAUUUUUUGACAAUGCAAAAAACUUUAAAAUUAAGAGGGCUAAGCUACGAUGAUUUUUGUUUUAAUUUAAAAUAUUUUUAGAAUUAAAUUAGCGCAAUUAAUUAUUAAUCUAAUUAUGUUUUUGUGUAGUGUGAAUGUUGACUGAACUGUUUUAUAUACAAUUUUAUGUACUUGUUUUUUAUAUACA